RNAcentral lists this ribosomal RNA (254 nucleotides) under uncultured bacterium. RNAcentral's name for it is "partial 16S ribosomal RNA". It matches the Rfam family "Bacterial small subunit ribosomal RNA", at positions 524 to 776 of the family's 1533-position model. The record is from RNAcentral.
UACGGAGGGUGCAAGCGUUGUCCGGAAUCACUGGGCGUAAAGGGCGCGUAGGCGGCUCAUGAAGGCUGUGGUGAAAGUCCGGGGCUCAACCUCGGAUCGGCCGUGGCGACUCGUGGGCUGGAGCACUGUAGAGGCGGGUGGAAUUCCGGGGUGUAGCGGUGGAAUGCGUAGAGAUCCGGAAGAACACCAGUGGCGAAGGCGGCCCGCUGGGCAGUGGCUGACGCUGAGACGCGACAGCGUGGGGAGCAAACAGG